RNAcentral lists this unclassified non-coding RNA (400 nucleotides) under soil metagenome. RNAcentral's name for it is "partial contains 5.8S ribosomal RNA, internal transcribed spacer 2, and large subunit ribosomal RNA". The stretch from base 1 to 120 matches the Rfam family "5.8S ribosomal RNA", at positions 36 to 154 of the family's 154-position model. The record is from RNAcentral.
AUGAAGAACGUAGCGAAAUGCGAUAAGUAAUGUGAAUUGCAGAAUUCAGUGAAUCAUCGAAUCUUUGAACGCACCUUGCGCCCUUUGGCCAUUCCGAAGGGCAUGCCUGUUUGAGUAUCAUGAACACCUCAACUCUCAUGGCUUGCCAUGAUGAGCUUGGACUUUGGGGGUCUUGCUGGCCUGUGGUCGGCUCCUCUCAAAUGAAUCAGCUUGCCAGUGUUUGGUGGCAUCACAAGUGUGAUAACUAUCUGCGCUCGUGGUUUCCAUCAGAUAACCUCCAGUGAUGGAGGUUCGCUGGAGCUCAUAAAUGUCUCUCCUAAGCGAGGACAGCUCUUUUAAUGUUUGAUCUCAAAUCAGGUAGGACUACCCGCUGAACUUAAGCAUAUCAAUAAGCGGAGGA